This 229-nucleotide unclassified non-coding RNA is filed under the name plant metagenome. Its description in RNAcentral is "partial contains small subunit ribosomal RNA, internal transcribed spacer 1, and 5.8S ribosomal RNA". The record is from RNAcentral.
UCUCCGUAGGUGAACCUGCGGAGGGAUCAUUACAGAGUUCAUGCCCUACCGGUUCUAUCUCCCACCCUAUGUUUUUAUUACUUUGUUGCUUUGGCGGGCCGUUAGGCUCCGGCCCUACUACCAGCCCCGGCUGGUAAGCGCCGGCCAGAGGAUCCAAAACCCUGAAUCUUAGCGUCGUCUGAGUACUAUCUAAUAGUUAAAACUUUCAACAACGGAUCUCUUGGUUCUG